RNAcentral lists this ribosomal RNA (466 nucleotides) under uncultured bacterium. RNAcentral describes it as "bacterial SSU rRNA". It matches the Rfam family "Bacterial small subunit ribosomal RNA", at positions 32 to 526 of the family's 1533-position model. The record is from RNAcentral.
AAUCAACGCUGGCGGCGCGCUUAACACAUGCAAGUCGAGCGAGAAAGUGGAGCAAUCCAUGAGUAAAGCGGCGUACGGGUGAGUAACACGUGGGUCAUUUGCCUCUUAGUGGGGAAUAACCCUGGGAAACCGGGGCUAAUACCGCAUAAUCCUGUGAAGGGAAAGCAGCAAUGCGCUGAGAGAGAAGCCCGCGGCCGAUUAGCUAGUUGGUGAGGUAACGGCCCACCAAGGCGACGAUCGGUAGCCGGCCUGAGAGGGCACACGGCCACACUGGCACUGAAACACGGGCCAGACUCCUACGGGAGGCAGCAGUGGGGAAUCUUGCACAAUGGAGGAAACUCUGAUGCAGCGACGCCGCGUGAGCGAUGAAGCCCUUCGGGGUGUAAAGCUCUUUCGGCAGGGACGAUAAUGACGGUACCUGAAGAAGAAGCUGCGGCUAACUACGUGCCAGCAGCCGCGGUAACAC